CUACGGGGCGCAGCAGUGGGGAAUAUUGGGCAAUGGGCGAAAGCCUGACCCAGCAACGCCGCGUGAAGGAAGAAGGUUUUCGGAUCGUAAACUUCUAUCCCAGGUGAAGAUAAUGACGGUAGCCUGGAAGGAAGCCCCGGCUAACUACGUGCCAGCAGCCGCGGUAAUACGUAGGGGGCAAGUGUUGUCCGGAAUGAUUGGGCGUAAAGGGCGCGUAGGCGGCCUUCUAAGUCCGAUGUGAAAGUCCUGCUUUUAAGGUGGGAAUUGCAUUGGAAACUGGAGGGCUUGAGUGCAGGAGAGGUAAGUGGAAUUCCCGGUGUAGCGGUGAAAUGCGUAGAGAUCGGGAGGAACACCAGUGGCGAAGGCGACUUACUGGACUGUAACUGACGCUGAGGCGCGAAAGUGUGGGGAGCAAACAGGAUUAGAUACCCCCGUAGUC
This 439-nucleotide ribosomal RNA is filed under the name uncultured bacterium. RNAcentral describes it as "partial 16S ribosomal RNA". It matches the Rfam family "Bacterial small subunit ribosomal RNA", at positions 339 to 795 of the family's 1533-position model. The record is from RNAcentral.